This 303-nucleotide ribosomal RNA is filed under the name uncultured bacterium. Its description in RNAcentral is "partial 16S ribosomal RNA". It matches the Rfam family "Bacterial small subunit ribosomal RNA", at positions 507 to 807 of the family's 1533-position model. The record is from RNAcentral.
AGCAGUCGCCGCGGGAAUACAGAGGGUGCGAGCGUUAAUCGGAUUUACUGGGCGUAAAGCGUGCGUAGGCGGCUUCUUAAGUCGGAUGUGAAAUCCCCGAGCUUAACUUGGGAAUUGCAUUCGAUACUGGUUAGCUAGAGUGUGGGAGAGGAUGGUAGAAUUCCAGGUGUAGCGGUGAAAUGCGUAGAGAUCUGGAGGAAUACCGAUGGCGAAGGCAGCCAUCUGGCCUAACACUGACGCUGAGGUACGAAAGCAUGGGGAGCAAACAGGAUUAGAUACCCCAGUAGUCCCUGUCUCUUAUAC